UAAGGAAACCUUGGCUGAGACCCACAAGUACGUGAUCCUCUCUUUUCUAUUAUUAUUUCUACACUUCUGAAUCAUCUAGAGAGAUUCCUGAGAAGGGAAAGAAUAGGACAUCUAUUCUCAUGGAAGAAUAAAACAUUACCCUCUGGAGACAACCAGGCUGGACAGGGGGCAGAGUGAAAACGUCUCUCCAAAGACCUCAGAUAUCAGUUUUCCAGCAUCAAAAGGAGCCAAAGCAGAGAAGUGGGAGUAGGGAGAGGAGUGGAGCUUUGAAAGCUUGCAGAGGUUGCCUGGAACCACUGGAAGAGGUCUGGGAUGUGACACCGCUUCUGCAAAGGUAGAGAAUCAUCCCCUUCUCUCCUCAGUGGUGGUUCUUUCCAGAGCCUAUGGUGUGACCGCAGGGGUGCAGGUAGCCUGGGGUUGAACUGGAAGGGGGAGUCCUGGGGGGGGGGGGGUGGGUUAUGGCUAAAAUCCUGGGGUGAGAGACAGCACGGACAUUGUGAAUUCAGUAUGGGGCUCGUGCAGGGCAGUUGGUUGCAGAUGACCACCCCUUCCCAGCCUGCCCAGUUCUCCAGGCCCAGAAGCUCCUGGCUGCCGCUUGUUCCUCAUGUCUGCUGCAGACACCUGGGGCGGUUCCCUGACAAAGGCAGCUUUCAUCAGGUCUCCUCUCAAGAUGCCCCAGGGGAGAUGUGCAAAGAAACACCUCCUGGAGCCCAACAGCUCUGGCGGGAAAAGUCCGCUCCCCAUGUGCUCCAUGUCUCCUCUGCCCAAACGGCCUCUGCCUCGAGCCUCAAGCAUUUCUCCAGCUUUUCUCCAGGCUUAGUUCCCGCCUUAGUUUCCACUCACUCAGAUUCAUCCCUGAGAGCCUCGCCAACACCACAGCCUCUCUUUCCCCUGGACAGUCUUCCACCCACUGGUUUUCUCUCCUUCCCACCAUGUCAUCCUGAUACAGGGACCUGCCUUCCACCUCAGCACCAUUAGGCUCCUUGCUGAGCCUCCCUCAGGGUGAGCCCAUGGCACUAACAACGGGCACCAUCCCACAAAGGUCACGCCCAUGCUCCCCUUGGAGACCAGCCAUCGUAGGGAUCGUCUGUUCCAGCUAUCCUCUUCCUACCCUGUCUUGGUGGCGGGGGCUGCCAAAGAAUGGAGCUUGUCCACCUUGACACACUUGGGGACCCAAAAGAAUACCUUCCUAUACACUCACCAGAGGCAUGAUUUUGGUGAGACCCAAGAAACAGACAGGUAGAGGCAGGUAGCCUCUUUUUUGUCAGCACAGAUGUGCAGAAGCUGCUAGAAAUGUCAAUCACCAAGAGAGUGGAAUUAAUGUUUUGGAAGGAGUAAGAAAAGAAGGAGGAGGCAGGCUGCCAUGUGACUUCAUUGAUGAAGAGAAUUAAGUCACUGAGUGACAAGGAGGACACCUUGGGCACCAGAAUUCCUGGAAAAUAAAAAGCAAACCAGAACAGAUGCUUGGACACAUGGGGACCCACUGCCCAUCUCACACUGUUUUUCCCAAUGGAACCAUCUUCCUCUCAACUGAAGACUGUCUAUAAUGAAGUGUCUUGACCUAUAGUCCAAAAGAAGGCACAAACUUUGAUCCUCAAUGCAAUUCAAAUCCUACAAUGUCACUUUUUAAAAAAGCACCUAGAAAGUGGGCAAACUUUACCCUCUUUGGUUAGAAAAAUCUCAGCAAGUCUUUAGCCAGAUCACCCCCAAUCUUCCCCAGGAAAACAGGUCUUCCCAGCCACACAAAUCUGUCUCCUUUGUUCCUGGGGAUCUGAUCAGCCCUGAGGUUCAGGAGAGACUGGAGUGCCCUCUUUCCAAAAGGUUCAUGCAGCAAGAGAGUGGCCCCCCCGCAGAACCCAAGAGUCUCAGAAAGUGAUGCAGCCUCAGGGCGAAUCCCCAAGGCCUUGGCAGGCAAUGGACACAAAGAGAUCCUCAAGGCUUUCUGCAGGUCUAGGCAAAAGCAGCCAGGAAACACAGAAAAUGGCAUCCUGGUACCUAGCAAGGAUCCCAACAGGAAAGCUCCUGAGCCAAGAUGUAAAGCAGAGCAUGAGGAGGUUCCUAAAAGUUUUGUGCAUGACCUCAGCAAACCCUCCAGUGAAGGUCCCAAGUGCAAAGCCUGAGUUAGAAAGAGAGUUGAGCCCAGGCAGGAAGCAUCCAGAAGAAAUCCUGGGGGUCUUUAUAAACAGGAAGUCACAGCAGAUCCAUGAGGGUUGGAUCCCUGUUAAUGUCUAUUGUUCAAGGCUUUCUGCCAACCACUUCAUAGACCUUCCUGGACAGUCAAAUGCUCCCAUGGGAACAGAAAAUGCAGGUUGUUCUCAGGAUUGGGAAGCUUCCAUGUAGACUUCCUAUGAGUCUUUUGUCCUCAGUCCUCAUAUUGAACAGGAGCUGGAAGUUCAUAUAAUAAAGUUUCAGGUGAGGCACAGAUGGGUCCUUCUCCUAGGUUCCUAUAUAGGUUGAAGUUGAAAACUUCUCAUCACAUACGACUUCCAAGAUCCACCUUGAAGAUUACCAGUGACUCUGGGGACCACCCAAAAACCCAAGUUAACAGAGGGCUCAGGAAAACAUUCUCAUCCCCAUCCAGGAGAGAAAGUGAUAACAAUCCAGGCAGUGCCCACCCUGGAGAGUACCUGCCCUGACCCCUACCAGGCAACUGAGAAAACCUGGGGGGCUCUGGGAGGAACCUCAACUGGAAACAUCCAGAAGCCCUCAGAGGCCCCUGUGGCUGGGCAGGAAGACAAGCCACCUUCUCAGGCCCCCACAUACACAUUUGGGGGCAGAAUUUGGCACACUGAGUCUAUUGUGGAGGCUGACAAAGGCAGCUUGGAGACCAGUCCACAUCCAGAAAUGGCCAGGAAUGAGCCACAGGAGGAAUCUGGGGAUUGGGCCACCCCAGAAACUUGCUCUAGUGUGACUGUCAUGGACCCUGAUGAAUGUUCCCAAUCUUCCAGAAAACAAGAGGCUGUGGAGGGAGACCCUGCUUAGAAAGGUUCUUUUGAAUCUAGUCUACUAAUCAAAUCCCAAAUAAUUAAUAUUGAUAUAAGAUCAUGGUCUCCAAGGUCCCAUAAAAAUCCCUCCUCAAACACAAAGACUGUUGCCACAAAUCCAGAAGAUGUAUACUUUGAUGAACAGUUUCAUAAGCUUAAGUUCCAAGGGUUCAUAGACUGGCAGAAACUGGCUCAAGGCCAGGCCACUUGCCUGCUCUUUCAAGACUGUGCCGCUGGGAGGCUUCUCAAAACCUGUCACUCAGAUAUAUUCAUUGCCACAAACACCUUGGCUUCCCAGGAAACUCUGUGCUGUUCUGAAACCCUGUCCAAUUCCCACACAUGUGAUGUUAUGUCCAGUGGAGGGAACAGCCAGGGACAGCAGAAAGCCCGGAGAAGGCAGCCCCAACAUAAGAGUCAGCAAAGGAAGUUCGUCUCCACUGAUGCCGGAGAGACUAAUAGGAGGCCCAAACUACAAUAGCAUAAAAAGGGGUUGGUGGUACAGAGGUUCUACCAGGCCCGCAGGAUGAGCCACCCUGGCCAGAAAAAGGAAUCAGCAGAGUCCCUACAAAACAGUUAAUCCUGAAGAAGGGACAGGUUUCUUCAGAAAACCACUUGAAAGAAAAGAUUAAGCAGUUUCUGCAGUGGAUUUGCCCCUGAAGGCAAAAGACUGGAACAAGCCCUGCAAAAAGCAAGCCUGCAGCAGACACAGCCCAGAGGCAGGGGACUGUCAAAAGAAGUCUGAUUGCGGACAGCAAGGCUGUUGAGGCUCAGGCUCUCAUGACUGACAUCUGUUGGACAGAUCUUAUAGGAGAAGAUGGAGCUUCACCAUGGACCACAUCUUCGGAGCUUCACUGGUACAAAGCAGAAACUCAGGCCCCAUUAAGUCCAGCUUACUGCUACCACGGCUUUCUCUGAAAUCAAGAGCAAAGGAGAGUGAUGAAACAAACAGCCCACCACCAGCGAGCUACCCCCAUAGGCCAUAUGUAUCCUACAAAGAGGAAGUGGACCAGUCCCAGGAACAGCACGUGGACCUUCCCACCCAGGGAGCCAGGUCCCCAGCUGGGAAGAGCCUGCCAGCACGGAUCAAGAGUGACAAGUGUCCCAGGCCAUCCCCUCCGCAGCCCAAGGCACUGUCUUCUUCAGAAAUACACCUCUGCUGGUCAAUCAGAACAUCCCUGUCACAGCAUUCCUGGUAGGAAAAUUCUUCUCCCAGAAAAAAUGCAUACUGUGCAUAUGAACAAUUUUUCUCUCAUGUUAGGACAUCCUCUGUGUGUUAAAAGCUUCU
Dama dama (fallow deer) is the source of this 4269-nucleotide long non-coding RNA. RefSeq lists it as uncharacterized. Lineage: Eukaryota; Metazoa; Chordata; Mammalia; Artiodactyla; Cervidae. The record is from RefSeq and is a predicted model, not a curated record. The transcript is spliced from 3 exons.